ACGAGGUAAAUAGUUGUUUCAAUGGAGGCAGUCGCAAUUCCACACAACAUACUCAUCGGAUUCGAUUAGCUAUGCGUAUAUUUGCUAUACACACGCUUUAGAAUUUAUUCUCCUUUCAACACUGUGAACAAAUCAGAGUGUAUCAAACAUGUCGUUUUUGAAUGUGCAUUGAAUGUCUUAUCAUGGGAUGUUGCACUUUCUGCGUUAAAAAUUUAUUACUGCUUCGUGCUGUAAUUAUUUUUUUACACACACACACACACACAUACGCACAUGUUGUAUGCCACGUAAAUAAUUUUUAACGGUUAAAAAUGUCGAUGGGGAUAGUUGGAGUCAACAGUACUGCUGGGCGAGAGGUGAAAUUCAUUGACCCUAGCAAGACUACCAAAAGCGAAAGCAGUUGGCUAGGCUAUACUCUUUGUGAUUAUAUAUAUUUUAUCACGCAUAAAUAUACACACACACACAUACACACUCACGUAUAUACAUGCGGUCAGUAUAAAUAUAUACACUUUACAAUGAAGAACGAAGGUUGGGGGAUCAAAGAGGAUCAGAUACCCUCGUCGUCCCAUUAAUUACAUCAAACGAUGGGCUCUCAAUUGCAUUUUCUCGUAAAUUGCAAAUUUCCUCAGCCUACAAAAUGAAUUGGCUUGAGCUCGUAUUAUUCGUAAUUCGCCUCACUAUUUUCGUACGGUCUCGAUGGACGUUUCAUUUAUAUUUUUUUGCGUGUAAGCAUUAUGUUAUUCUUUGAAACAUAAGAAUGCAUUGCGUGCACUUGAUUUUCGGAGCUUUGCGCUCAAUUCUGGUGAGAUGUAAGCACUAUGUCAUACUGCCCGCAGCGUAUGCCUUCGGGCAUUUCGUCUGUCGUGUGUAGUUGACAAUUUUGGUGUGAAGCACGCUUUAGGCACGCGCUUACUGCAGAAAUGUCUGAGACAUUCCCUUCCGGGGGUAGUAUGCACGCAAGUGUGAAACUUGAAGGAAUUGACGGAAGGGCACCACAAGAACGCGUGGAGCAUGUGGCUUAAUUUGACCCAACGCGGGAAAUCUUACCGGGUCCGGACACACUGAGGAUUGACAGGCAAUAUUAAUAAUUUUGUCAGCGUAUGGUAUAUUUUAUUAUGUUAAAUAUGCUAGUCCUUUCAUGAUUAUGUGAUAGGUGGUGCAUGGCCGUUCUUAGUUCGUGGAGUGAUCUGUCUGCUUAAUUGCGUUUCACUAAGGGCCUAUAAAUUCACGUAUGUUGCGACACUUUGACCCCUCCUCUGCGUGCGUGCGUCUUUGUUUGUUUAGCUCAUACAAUUAGGUCCUGAAAGCAACGAACGUGACCGCAACCUCUUGUUGCUUUCGUUAUGUGUGUGUACUCGAGGAGUCACACAAAUAUUUUUAUGCACAGAAAGCCUUUUAAACUAGAGGGACCGCUGUUACUUUCUUAAACCAGAGGAAGGUUGCGGCAAUAACAGGUCUGUGAUGCCCUUAGAUGUUCCGGGCUGCACACGUGCUACAAUGAUUAUUGCAGUGAGCAUCUCAUUUUAUUAUUCACACCGCAUGCGCGAGACCAUUUUAUUCUCUCUUCGCGAGUGUUUUAAAUGUGUAUCUCUGCGCGCGGUAAAGCCUACUUCGAAAGUAAGCGGGUAAUCAAUUAGAAGUAAUGAUUUCCUAUAUUUUAUUGUAUCACACACUCUCGUAUGGUAUAAUAAUUCUGCACACAUAUAUACGGCAUCUUUACCCGGGUUUUUCCGUAUGUGCGAUUGUCAAUUCAUGGUGGGGACAGACCAUUGUUAAUUGUUGGUCUCGGUCUUAACUAGGAAUGCCUUGUACUGGUCUUUGGUUCAACAAACCACCAGGAAUACGUCCCUGCCCUUUGUACACACCGCCCGUCGCUCUUACCGAUGGACUUCUCUGUGAGUUUGAGGACUGGGAACGCAUAUAAUUUCGAUUAUUUGCACACCUAUGGAAACUUAAACGAACAGUGUGGUCUAAAGGAAAGAGAAGUCGUAAC
RNAcentral lists this ribosomal RNA (1990 nucleotides) under uncultured eukaryote. RNAcentral describes it as "partial small subunit ribosomal RNA". It matches the Rfam family "Eukaryotic small subunit ribosomal RNA", at positions 642 to 1795 of the family's 1831-position model. The record is from RNAcentral.